RNAcentral lists this ribosomal RNA (308 nucleotides) under uncultured bacterium. Its description in RNAcentral is "partial 16S ribosomal RNA". It matches the Rfam family "Bacterial small subunit ribosomal RNA", at positions 505 to 807 of the family's 1533-position model. The record is from RNAcentral.
GAGACAGCAGUCGCCACGGGAAUACGAACCGUGCGAACGUUAUUCGGAAUUACUGGGCUUAAAGCGCGUGUAGGCGGAUCGGCACGUCCGAAGCUGAAAUCCCCCGGCUCAACCGGGGAAGUGGCUGGGAUACGACCGGUCUUGAGGGAGGUAGGGGGGUCUGGAACUUCCGGUGGAGCGGUGAAAUGCGUUGAGAUCGGAAGGAACGCCCGUGGCGAAAGCGAGGCCCUGGACCUUUUCUGACGCUGAGACGCGAAAGCCAGGGGAGCGAACGGGAUUAGAUACCCCUGUAGUCCCUGUCUCUUAUA